Molecule: transfer RNA, 58 nt
Filed under: Coprobacillus sp. AF17-11AC
Lineage: Bacteria; Bacillati; Bacillota; Erysipelotrichia; Erysipelotrichales; Coprobacillaceae
Description: tRNA-Val
Rfam family: tRNA
About the family: Transfer RNA (tRNA) molecules are approximately 80 nucleotides in length. Their secondary structure includes four short double-helical elements and three loops (D, anti-codon, and T loops).
Source: RNAcentral
UAGCUCAGUUGGGAGAGCAUCUGCCUUACAAGCAGAGGGUCAGCGGUUCGAGCCCGUU